GCGACCUCAGCUAAGGCAAGAACAUCUGCUGAGUUUAAGCAUAUAAUUAAGCGGAGGAAAAGAAACUUACAAGGAUUACCCUAGUAGCGGCGAUCGAACCGGGAAGAGCCUAGCAUGAAAAUCAGCGGCAGCAUCGCCUGAAUUGUAGUCUGUAGAACCGUCCUCAACAGCGGACCUAGGCCAAGUCCCUUGGAAGGGGGCACCUGAGAGGGUGAAAACCCCGUCAGCCCGAGACCCUGCCACAUCACGAGGCGUUGUCGGUGAAUUGGGUUGUUUAGGAAUUCAACCCUAAUUGGAUGGUAAAUUUCAUCCAAGGCUAAAUACGGGUGAGAGACCGAUAGCGAACAAGUACCAUGAGGGAAAGAUGAAAAGGACUUUGAAAAGAGAGUUAAAGAGUGCUUGAAAUUGUCGGGAGGGAAGCAGAUGGAGGCUGUCGAUGCGUCUCGGUUGGAUGUGGAACGACUCAGGUUAGUCCGCCGCUCAACUUGAGGUGAAAACCAACACGGGCUGCUGCAUCGUCACAAGCGCGGGCGGAUUUCCGCCUGUCGGUUUGUCGUUGUGGUGGUCAAGGAACAAAGUGUGUGCCCUUGUGGUGGGCUAUGUGCACCUACACGCUCGUGGUGUUGGUUGGCAAGCUUUCCAUUUGACCCGUCUUGGAACAUGGACCAAGGAGUCUAACAUGUGUGCGAGUUGACAGGUUUGAAAACCUGUGAGGUGGAAGGAAGCUGACGGGCGAGAUCCCCUCUCUUGGGGGGGUGCAUCUUUGACCAACCUUGAGCUUAUGCGAAGGGUUCGAGUGCGAGCACACCUGUUGGGACCCGAAAUAUGGUGAACUAUGCCUGAGUAGGGUGAAGCCAGAGGAAACUCUAGUGGAGGCUCAUAGCGAUACUGACGUGCAAAUCAUUCGUCUGACUUGGGUAUAGGGGCGAAAGACUAAUCAAACCAUCUAUUAGCUGGUUUCCUUUGAAGUUUCCCUCAAGAUAGCUAGAGCUCAUGCGUGAGUUUUAUCAGGUAAAGCAAAUGAUUAGAGGCAUCGGGGGUGUAAUUCCCUUGACCUAUUCUCAAACUUUAAAUAGGUAAGAGGGUGCGGCUACUCCAUUGAGUCGUGCCAUGGAAUCGAGAGCUCCAAGUGGGCCAUUUUUGGUAAGCAGAAUUGGCGAUGCGGGAUGAAUUGAAAGUCAAGUUACGGUGCCGAAUUACGCGCUAACCUAGAUCCCACAAAGGGUCUUGGUUGAUUAAGACAGCAGGAUGGUGGUCAUGGAAGUCGAAAUCCGCUAAGGAGUGUGUAACAACUCACCUGUCGAAUCAACUAGCCCCGAAAAUGGAUGGCGCUGAAGCGCGCAACCUAUACUCAACCGUCGGAGCAAUUUCCUAGCUCCGAUGAGUAGGAGGACACGGGGGUCGUUGAGAAACCUCGGGCGUGAGCUUGGGUGGAUCAGCCCUCGGUGUAGAUCUUGGUGGUAGUAGCAAAUAUUCAAAUGAGAACUUUGAAGACUGAAGUGGGGAAAUGUUCCAUGUAAAUAGCACUUGGACAUGGGUUAGUCGAUCCUAAGAGAUGGGGAAGCCUUGUAUCAAGGGUGAACUCUGCACGAGCAUCGAAAGGGAAUCAGGUUAAUAUUCCUGAACUGGGACAUGGUGAAGGGAAGCAAUGUUAGGAAAUCCGAAGACGUCGUCGGGGGCCCCGGGAAGAGUUAUCUUUUCUUUUUAACAUCUUUCCCACCCUGGAAUCGGUUCACUUGGAGAUAGGGUCCAACAGCAGGAAGAGCACCGCACGUCUUACGGUGUCCAAAGCGCCCUCGGCAGCCAUUGAAAAUCUGGAGGACCGAGUACCGUUCAUGCCUAGUCGUACUCAUAACCGCAUCAGGUCUCCAAGGUGAACAACCUCUGGUGAAUACAACAAUGUAAGUAAGGGAAGUCGACAAAACGGAUCCGUAACUUCGGGAAAAGGAUUGGCUCUGAGGGCUGGGUCUAGGGGUCUAUGCCCUAACCUCAUGGGCUGUCGGAAGUCUGUCUGAGCUGCUCUCACGGCAAGGGUGGGCAGUCGCGUGCCAAUUGGGCUACGGGCGUAGAAUGCCCCCUGCCGGGGGCUUUUCCUUAGGCAUCAAACAGUUGACUCAGAACUGGUACGAACAAGGGGAAUCCGACUGUUUAAUUAAAACAAAGCAUUGCGAUGGUCCCUACGGAUGCUGAUGCAAUGUGAUUUCUGCCCAGUGCUCUGAAUGUCAAAGUGAAUAAAUUCAACCAAGCGUGGGUAAACAGGUGGAGUAACUAUGACUCUCUUAAGGUAGCCAAAUGCCUCGUCAUCUAAUUAGUGACGCACAUGAAUGGAUUAACGAGAUUCCCACUGUCCCUAUCUACUAUCUAGUGAAACCACAACCAAGGGAACAAGCUUGGCAGACUCUUUGUGAAAUGACUUGAGAGGUGUAGAAUAAGUGGGAGCCGUUUUCGGUGCAAGUGAAAUACCACUACUUUUAACGUUAUUUUACUUAUUCCGUGGGGUGGAGACGGGGCAUUGCCCCUGUUUUUGGCCUUAAGGCACGUUUCGGUGGGUUGAUUCGGGUGGCAGACAUUGUUAGGUGGGGAGUUUGGUUGGGGCGGCACAUUUUUUAAAAGCUAACGCAGGAGUCCUAAGAUGAGCUCAACGAGAACAUAAAUCUUGUGUGGAACAAAACAGUAAAAUCUCAUUUGAUUUUGAUUUUCAGUACAAAUGCAAACCGUGAAAGCGUGGCCUAUCAAUCCUUUAGAUUUUCAGAAGUUGAAUCUAGAGGUGUCAGAAAAGUUACCACAGGGACAACUGGCUUGUGGUAGCCAAGCGUUCAUAGUGACGUUGCUUUUUGAUCCUUCGAUGUUGGUUCUUCCUAUCAUUGUGAAGCAGAAUUCACCAAGUGUUGGAUUGUUCACCCACCAAUAGGGAACGUGAGCUGGGUUUAGACUGUCGUGAGACAGGUUAGCUUUACACUACUGAUGAACCGCACCGCAAUAGUAAUUCAACUUAGUACAAGAGGAACCGUUGAUUCACACAAUUGGUCAUCGCGCUUGGUUGAAAAUCUAGUGGUGCGAAGCUACCGUGUGUCGGAUUAUGACUGAAUGCCUCUAAGUCAAAAUCCACAUUAGAAGCGGUGCAUGUCACUCUUCGACUGUAUAUCGACCCACAGUAGGGUCGUCGCUUUGUCUUCCCCAGGGGCCCGUGUCAUUUGCAAACCGUGACCGUGAAGCAUCUCGGUCAGGGCAGCUUUGAAGUUCAAUUCCAAAUGGUCGUUGAGAAGAAUCCUUUGCAGACGACUCAAAUACGCGACAAGGUAUUUUAAGUGGCAGAGUGACCUUACUACCACAAUCCACUAAGAUUCAGC
This 3350-nucleotide ribosomal RNA is filed under the name Pinus taeda (loblolly pine). RNAcentral describes it as "eukaryotic LSU rRNA". It matches the Rfam family "Eukaryotic large subunit ribosomal RNA". Lineage: Eukaryota; Viridiplantae; Streptophyta; Pinopsida; Pinales; Pinaceae. The record is from RNAcentral.